This 468-nucleotide ribosomal RNA is filed under the name uncultured bacterium. RNAcentral's name for it is "partial 16S ribosomal RNA". It matches the Rfam family "Bacterial small subunit ribosomal RNA", at positions 28 to 507 of the family's 1533-position model. The record is from RNAcentral.
GACGAACGCUGGCGGCGUGCUUAACACAUGCAAGUCGAACGGAAAGGCCCUGCUUUUGUUUGUUUGUCGAGUGCCGAACGGGUGAGUAACACGUGUGUAACCCGCCCUUGACUUAGGGAUAACUUCAGGAAACAGGGGCGAAAACCGCAUAGGAUCUCCUGCUCCAUGUUGUGGGAUGGAAAGAUUCGGCGUUGGGGGAUGGAUUCGCGGCUUAUCCGCUUCUUGGUGUGGUAGGGGCUUACCAGGGCUUCGACGGGUAGCCGGCAUGGGAGGGGUACCGGCGACCAGAGGACUGAGAGACGGCGCAGUCUCCUACGGGAGGCAGUGGUGGAGAGUAUGGCGCAACGGGCGGACGUCUGAUGCGACGACGCCGCGUGCGUGAUGACGGCCUACGAGUUGUAAACCGCUGUCGCAUGAGACGAAGCGUGAGUGACGGUAAUGGGUAAAGAAGCACCGGCUAACUACGUG